This 102-nucleotide transfer RNA is filed under the name Coniochaeta sp. 2T2.1. RNAcentral describes it as "tRNA-Pro". It matches the Rfam family "tRNA". Rfam says of the family: Transfer RNA (tRNA) molecules are approximately 80 nucleotides in length. Their secondary structure includes four short double-helical elements and three loops (D, anti-codon, and T loops). Lineage: Eukaryota; Fungi; Ascomycota; Sordariomycetes; Coniochaetales; Coniochaetaceae. The record is from RNAcentral.
GGUCUGAUGGUCUAGCGGUAUGAUUCUCGCUUAGGGUACACCCUAAAUAUUCAAAGCUUCCAAGCUUGCGAGAGGUCCCGGGUUCAAUCCCCGGUCAGACCC